AGCACAAACUCAGAAAGCUUUGCAGAAGGAAAAUAAUACCAAGCUGCGGCCAGCGUCUCUCUCUGCAGUGUCUGGACUCUGCAAAGAGGUUCAAGAUGAGCUCCCUCCUCAGGGUUUGAUUUGGGAGCCUGACAGAGUUUCUCGGAAGCUGCCUCCCUUUCUGCCUCCCUCAAAGCCUUAGCUGCCAUUCUCAGGAAUCACGAGAGCUAGAAAACUUUCACAUGACAGCUCGGGGUCAGGGUUUAUGCUUUUCUUGACCAGUUUCACCAGCGACAGGAUUUUUCUGUGUGUUUACAUAAGAAAUCAGCAGGAAUUGUAUAAGCUUGUGAAUUACGAAGAUAGGUCUUUCUUCAUUGUCCUCUCAAGGUGAAGGAGAAGGAUAAAACCAUGGUAUAAGGAGUGAAAAGAGCCAUUGAAAACAUUACUGCUUUUUGGAUGACUGCGGUGCUAACCAUGGUUGGGGGCCCACUUCAGCUGUGAAUGCUUGUCUUGCAAGUAAGAGGGUCUGAGUUUAAUUCACAGACCCCAGUUUGUGGCUUUUAAAGCCAGGCAUGUUGGUGUGCUUGUAAUCCCAGUGCUAGGAGGCUAGACAGACAAGUCCCUCUGAUUCUCUGGCCAGUCAAAAACUGAUCCAGUCUUUCUUUAUAAAAAUAAUAAUAAUAAUGUAGAAGACGCCUGAGGAAUGACACCCGGACUGUCCUCUGACUUGUACAUACGCUGGUGCAUGCAAACACUAAAGCGUCACAGAGAGCAUUUUCAAGUAAAGGAUUUUAAACU
Molecule: long non-coding RNA, 777 nt
Filed under: Mus musculus (house mouse)
Lineage: Eukaryota; Metazoa; Chordata; Mammalia; Rodentia; Muridae
Description: long non-coding RNA chr10:18125278-18126055
Source: RNAcentral